AAAAUAUUAAAAUUAAAGCUUCUAACUUUAUAAUUAGAUUAGUAAUCUUAUAUUUUU
Molecule: transfer RNA, 57 nt
Filed under: Nomada flava
Lineage: Eukaryota; Metazoa; Arthropoda; Insecta; Hymenoptera; Apidae
Description: tRNA-Ser
Source: RNAcentral